GAGAAGAGGUACCCUCUUGCAGCGCAGAGCAAUUACUGCGCAGAGCUGGAGGAGCUGCAAGAAUUAUUACACUUUCCCGAAGAGGUCGCUUUACGCUUGGCUGACACAGAAUACCAACUCUUUUACCAGGUCCCACCGAUUGAUUACCUCCGUCAGGUGACGUUAGAUUUAGGCGGAGGCACCGGAACUUCAUCAGAAACUCUUUCAGGGAACUCCUCAACAGCAAGAUCAUCAGUAGCAACACUAAUUAAACGUUUUAAUGAGGUUAGCGCUUGGAUAACACA
Non-coding RNA from Onthophagus taurus, 284 nucleotides. The record is from RefSeq and is a predicted model, not a curated record. NCBI's taxonomy places the organism in Eukaryota, Metazoa, Arthropoda, Insecta, Coleoptera, Scarabaeidae.